UACACUCCUGCGGGAGGCAGCAGUGGGGAAUUUUGGACAAUGGGCGAAAGCCUGAUCCAGCAAUGCCGCGUGUGUGAAGAAGGCCUUCGGGUUGUAAAGCACUUUUGUCCGGAAAGAAAUCCUUGGCUCUAAUACAGUCGGGGGAUGACGGUACCGGAAGAAUAAGCACCGGCUAACUACGUGCCAGCAGCCGCGGUAAUACGUAGGGUGCGAGCGUUAAUCGGAAUUACUGGGCGUAAAGCGUGCGCAGGCGGUUUGCUAAGACCGAUGUGAAAUCCCCGGGCUCAACCUGGGAACUGCAUUGGUGACUGGCAGGCUAGAGUAUGGCAGAGGGGGGUAGAAUUCCACGUGUAGCAGUGAAAUGCGUAGAGAUGUGGAGGAAUACCGAUGGCGAAGGCAGCCCCCUGGGCCAAUACUGACGCUCAUGCACGAAAGCGUGGGGAGCAAACAGGAUUAGAUACCCGUGUAGUCCCAUGAU
Molecule: ribosomal RNA, 478 nt
Filed under: uncultured organism
Description: partial 16S ribosomal RNA
Rfam family: Bacterial small subunit ribosomal RNA
Source: RNAcentral